CCUACGGGUGGCAGCAGUGGGGAAUAUUGGGCAAUGGAGGAAACUCUGACCCAGCAACGCCGCGUGAAUGAUGAAGGUCUUCGGAUUGUAAAGUUCUUUUCUAAGGGAAGAAGAAAGUGACGGUACCUUAGGAAUAAGACUCGGCUAACUAAGUGUCACAAGCUGCCGUAAUACGUAGGAGGCGAGCGUUAUCCGGAAUGACUGGUCGUAAAGGGUGCGUAGGUGGUUUGGCAAGUUAGUAACGUAACUCCAAGGCUCAACCUUGGAACUACUACUAAAACUGUUGGACUUGAGUGCAGGAGGGGCAACCGGAAGUCCUAGUGUAGCGGUGGAAUGCGUAGAUAUUAGGAGGAACACCAGUGGCGAAGGCGGGUUGCUAGACUGUAACUGACACUGCGUCACGAAAGCGUGGGGAGCAAACAGGAUUAGAUACCCUUGUAGUC
This 443-nucleotide ribosomal RNA is filed under the name uncultured bacterium. RNAcentral's name for it is "partial 16S ribosomal RNA". It matches the Rfam family "Bacterial small subunit ribosomal RNA", at positions 338 to 795 of the family's 1533-position model. The record is from RNAcentral.